Molecule: ribosomal RNA, 675 nt
Filed under: Triticum aestivum (bread wheat)
Lineage: Eukaryota; Viridiplantae; Streptophyta; Magnoliopsida; Poales; Poaceae
Description: partial small subunit ribosomal RNA
Source: RNAcentral
AUGGCGGAGGAACCGUCCACCAAGCGUCAUCAUGCCGAGACGUCGGACAAGAGGAGCAACCUCGUCGACAUUAACGUCCCCGGCGAGAAGCGCGAGUACACCAGAACGCUCAAAGGGGUUGAGCUCCACGGCAAGGAGACGCUGGAGAUCGUCUGCACCAGCGAACCAGACAAGGCCGACGAGAUGAUGAGUAGGCUCAGGAUGAAGGGCGGCGGCUUGUAUCCGAGCUUCAUCGGAGUUGAUGUGGAGCCCAAGCGCCUCAAAGACUUCCUGCGGGAGGAGAAAUUGUACACAUUUUUUGGUUUCAGCAUUGGAGGUGACAAGCGGAUGCUGCAGGAGUCUGGUUUGGAAAUCAACCCCAACAACUUCAUCGACAUGCAGCGCAAGUGGAAAGAUCCAAAGACUAGAAAAUACUACGACUCCUUGGACGAUGUUGCAGGCGGCAUCAUCCACCCAUUCUACGAAGGCAUGAAGAAGAAGAUGAACAGGGCAGACCACAAACUAUGGGGGAACAGCCCGCUGCCAGACAACCUCAUCACGUACGCAGGAAUAGAUGCGUACGCAACGUACAAGUCAUGGAAGACAAUCGACAAUAUCGUGACAGGUUGGGAUAUUUCAAAAGAGCAGGAGGCUGACCCCUACCACCACUGCAACUUCGCGGAUGAAGAAGCAUGA